RNAcentral lists this ribosomal RNA (321 nucleotides) under uncultured eukaryote. Its description in RNAcentral is "partial 18S ribosomal RNA". It matches the Rfam family "Eukaryotic small subunit ribosomal RNA", at positions 1470 to 1796 of the family's 1831-position model. The record is from RNAcentral.
CCCUUAGAUGUUCUGGGCCGCACGCGUGCUACACUGAGUGGAUCAGCGGGUCAGGUUGCGCGAAAGUGUUUCCUAAUCUUUAAAUCCGCUCGUGAUGGGGAUUGACGGUUGCAAUUUUCCGUCAUGAACGAGGAAUACCUUGAAGCGCGGGUCAUCAUCCCGCGCUGAAUACGUCCCUGCCCUUUGUACACACCGCCCGUCGCUCCUACCGAUUGAGUGGUCCGGUGAGGCUUUGGGAUCUGAGCGGAAAGAGCGUUUCGCUGUUUCUGCCCGGAAAACUCAGUCGAACCUUAUCAUUUAGAGGAAGGAGAAGUCGUAACA